GAAAGAAGGAUCAAAGUAUAGUCCAAGGAUGCAUCUAUGUCUGCAAUUUGUUAUUCACAAUGGUAUAAUAUCUAUCAGUAGCUGGUUAAGAUGUAUUUCUUCCUCAAGAGCUCUGGAUGAUCCUUUUAACAAACCAUACAUCGAUGGAUUGGGAGAAACUAGUUGUGGUUUGGGAACUUUGGUUUCAUUACAUCCGUUUUGUUUUUCAUUAAUAGGGUCGUUUGGUCUGCGGAUUAAAUUGUCUCGGGAUUAUAGUAUGAGAAAGAAAAAUGCCAUUUACUUUGCUGCUAAA
RNAcentral lists this unclassified non-coding RNA (292 nucleotides) under Hevea brasiliensis (rubber tree). The record is from RNAcentral. Lineage: Eukaryota; Viridiplantae; Streptophyta; Magnoliopsida; Malpighiales; Euphorbiaceae.